GGCCUGGUUGGACGGUCUGCCUCUUGGUAUGUACUGUCCCGGCUGGGUCUUACCUUCUGGUGAGCUGUCGUGUUGUUUAUUCAGCGCGGCAGGGAACCAGGACUUUUACUUUGAAAAAAUUAGAGUGUUUAAAGCAGGCAUUGGCUUGAAUACAUUAGCAUGGAAUAAUAAAAUAGGACUUUGGUUCUAUUUUGUUGGUUUCUAGGACCGAAGUA
RNAcentral lists this ribosomal RNA (215 nucleotides) under uncultured fungus. RNAcentral's name for it is "partial small subunit ribosomal RNA". The stretch from base 48 to 215 matches the Rfam family "Eukaryotic small subunit ribosomal RNA", at positions 694 to 864 of the family's 1831-position model. The record is from RNAcentral. Lineage: Eukaryota; Fungi.